RNAcentral lists this transfer RNA (58 nucleotides) under Cordylochernes scorpioides. RNAcentral's name for it is "tRNA-OTHER". The record is from RNAcentral. Lineage: Eukaryota; Metazoa; Arthropoda; Arachnida; Pseudoscorpiones; Chernetidae.
UGCAUCGGCCGGGAAUCGAACCCUGGCCGCCAGCAUUCUACCACUGAACCACCGAUGC